ACUCAAAUGAAUAGACGGGGGCUCACACAAGCGGAGGAGCAUGUGGAUUAAUUCGAAGCAACGCGCAGAACCUUACCUGGGUUUGACAUGCACGGAUGCCGUCCAUGAAAGUGGAGCCGGCUGCCUUCGGGUGAAACGUGCACAGGUGCUGCAUGGCUGUCGUCAGCUCGUGCUGUGAAGUGUCGGGUUAAGUCCCUUAACGAGCGAAACCCCUGUCGUUAGUUGCCAGCGUCAAGCCGGGCACUUUAACGAGACUGCCGGCGUCAAGCCGGAGGAAGGUGGGGAUGACGUCAAGUCAUCAUGGCCUUUAUGCCCAGGGCGUCACACGUGCUACAAUGGCGUGCACAGAUCGAUGCGAGACCGUAAGGUGGAGCAAAUCGCACAAAACACGCCCCAGUUCGGAUUGGGGUCUGCAACUCGACCCCAUGAAGUUGGAUUCGCUAGUAAUCGCGGAUCAGCCACGCCGCGGUGAAUGUGUUCCUGAGCCUUGUACACACCGCCCGU
Molecule: ribosomal RNA, 504 nt
Filed under: uncultured bacterium
Lineage: Bacteria
Description: partial 16S ribosomal RNA
Rfam family: Bacterial small subunit ribosomal RNA
Source: RNAcentral